RNAcentral lists this ribosomal RNA (396 nucleotides) under uncultured bacterium. Its description in RNAcentral is "bacterial SSU rRNA". It matches the Rfam family "Bacterial small subunit ribosomal RNA", at positions 361 to 773 of the family's 1533-position model. The record is from RNAcentral.
AUAUUGCCCAAUGGACGAAAGUCUGAGGCAGCAACGCCGCGUGCGCGAAGAAGGCCUUCGGGUCGUAAAGCGCUUUUCGGUGGGAGGAGCGGGGACGCUACCACCGGAAUAAGGGACGGCUAACUACGUGCCAGCAGCCGCGGUAAAACGUAGGUCCCGAGCGUUAUCCGGAUUUACUGGGCGUAAAGGGCGUUGAGGCGGUCGGGCAAGUCGGGCAUGAAAGCGCUCGGCUCAACCGGGCGAGGUUGUCCGAUACUGGCCGACUGGAGGGCAGGCGAGGGGGGUGGAAUUCCGGGUGGAGUGGUGAAAUGCGUAGAGAUCCGGAGGAGCACCCGUGGCGCAAGCGGCCCCCUGGACUGCACCUGACGCUGACGCGCGAAAGCUAGGGGAGCGAAC